GACUCGCGGAUAUCUCGGCUCUCGCAUCGAUGAAGAACGUAGCGAAAUGCGAUACUUGGUGUGAAUUGCAGAAUCCCGUGAACCAUCGAGUCUUUGAACGCAAGUUGCGCCCGAGGCCUCCUGGUCGAGGGCACGUCUGCCUGGGUGUCA
Molecule: ribosomal RNA, 150 nt
Filed under: Salix viminalis (osier)
Lineage: Eukaryota; Viridiplantae; Streptophyta; Magnoliopsida; Malpighiales; Salicaceae
Rfam family: 5.8S ribosomal RNA
About the family: 5.8S ribosomal RNA (5.8S rRNA) is a component of the large subunit of the eukaryotic ribosome. It is transcribed by RNA polymerase I as part of the 45S precursor that also contains 18S and 28S rRNA.
Source: RNAcentral